This 413-nucleotide ribosomal RNA is filed under the name uncultured eukaryote. RNAcentral describes it as "SSU rRNA". It matches the Rfam family "Eukaryotic small subunit ribosomal RNA", at positions 592 to 1010 of the family's 1831-position model. The record is from RNAcentral.
CAAUAGCGUAUAUUAAAGUUGUUGCGGUUAAAAAGCUCGUAGUUGGAUUUCUGUUGAGAGUGGCCAGUCCGCACUUAGUGCGAGUAUUUGGUUCAGUCUCGGCAUCCUCCAGGGGAGCGUACUGUACUUGAUUGUAUGGUGCGCAAUUCUGGACUUUUACUUUGAGGAAAUUAGAGUGUUCACGGCAGGCAUUUGCCUUGAAUAUGUUAGCAUGGAAUAAUAAUAUAAGACCUUGGUCUUAUUUUGUUGGUUUCUAGGAGCAGGGUAAUGAUUAAUAGGGAUAAUUGGGGGUAUUCGAAUUAAGGCGUCAGAGGUGGAAUUCUUGGAUUGCCUUACGACGAACUACUGCGAAAGCAUUUACCAAGGAUGUUUUCAUUGAUCAAGAACGAAAGUCAGGGGAUCGAAGACGAUCG